UACGGGGGGAGCAAGCGUUGUUCGGAUUUACUGGGCGUAAAGGGCGCGUAGGCGGUCAGCACAAGUCAGUUGUGAAAUCUCCGGGCUUAACUCGGAAAGGUCAACUGAUACUGUGCGACUAGAGUGCAGAAGGGGCAACUGGAAUUCUCGGUGUAGCGGUGAAAUGCGUAGAUAUCGAGAGGAACACCUGCGGCGAAGGCGGGUAGCUGGGCCGACACUGACGCUGAGGCGCGAAAGCCAGGGGAGCGAACGGG
This 254-nucleotide ribosomal RNA is filed under the name uncultured bacterium. Its description in RNAcentral is "partial 16S ribosomal RNA". It matches the Rfam family "Bacterial small subunit ribosomal RNA", at positions 524 to 776 of the family's 1533-position model. The record is from RNAcentral.